CAUCAGAGGUGUGGACGCAGGAGGAGGGGAGCCGGGAGAAAGAGACGCUAAAUCCCGAUCCAGGAAAGAGGACGGGAGAAUAUAAAUUUAACGCCGAAGCAAAAAGAGCAGAAAAAUGGCAAACCGACGCAUACAAGAUGUGGAAAUUCAGGCCCAGGGAGAAAUGACUUUCCAAGAUUUGGAAGCAGAAUUACCAGCAAGAGUGGAAUCCAUGUGACCUGAGCCUCCUUCCACUCCCCACUUCCCUGCCCCCCAUCAACGGCCUUUCCCCUUGGCUACUUUACAUUGGCAUGAAAAUCUGCCAUCUCUGUAAAGACAUCAGUGCCAACCAGCUGCCACCCACUCUAAAAACACCACUAUCAUCUUGCUCACCAUUUCACUUCAGACCCAGAUCCAACGAAUCAAUUAAAAAAAUAAAAAAUAAAAUUAGAUUUUUUAAAAGCAAUAAACAUCUAUUAAAUAUCUACUGCGUGGGGAUGGAGACAGUCCAGUGUCAAAUGGUUUAACACCAGGAAACUGCCAUGAUUUUAAUCAGUGGUAACAUUAAAGAAGAAGCAUUGCUUAUGAAUGAGCCCGUAGGACCAUGGGAUUUUCCCAGGUAAAGCCUCCUAUGUGUGUUGUCUUUCCCCAUUAGAAUGGCAGCUCCUUAGGAUAGGAACUGUCAUAUUUCUUUUCCCAUCUGGGUGCUUCUCUCAGCAUUGAAUAUAGUAGGCACUUAAUAAAUGCAUUAUUCAUUCCUAUGUCCAUCCAUCUGAAGGAAGAAACAGUAAGAUGACUUGGAUCAGUUACAGUGAAGAACUAACAGUGACAGUUUACUGGCCCACAAAACUCACUGAGUCAGCAUCAUGCCUGAGCAGCCAGAUGAGCUGAUGACAUUAGGCUUCCUGGAGAGGCCUAGCUCUCCAACAAAGCCCAAUUGACUACAUUUGACCAGGUUUUUAUUCUGAGCUACAUUUUUAGAAAAGACACAACCCUGAAAUCUGGAAACUCCUGAAUUUAGAAGGCACUUUUACUUUUGAUCAUUUGGAGGUGAUUGUCUAGAGCAUCUCUGCUUUUGAUCCAAAAGGAAGUCCAAUAACUUUUGACAUUUGUACCUAUCCCACAUCUAAAAUAUCAUAGAGGUCAAUGCAGCCAGCCCUAUUUACCAACACCCCUGAACUGCCAGGAAUCAUUAAGAUUCAAGAAUAUAUCAGUUGGCUUCUUACAGAGUGGAGAAUCCUAGAUCCUCCCCCCACCCCCAUUAUAUAAGGAGGUAGACAUUUUCAGGAAUUUGGUCUCUCUUGGACAUGAGGUUGAUACUCCAAACUGAAAGUUUGGAAGUUUUUUUUUUUACUUUUGAGGAUGAAAACCAGAGGAGUAGCUGCCUAGGUAAUGAAUGUAGAAAGGCAUUUUCCCAGAAAGAUCAGCUAAGAAAUUAUAAGAGAAUUUAUACUGGAGAGAAAUUUCAUCUAUGUAAUCAAUGUGGCCAGUCAUACUCCCCCAAAAUUCAGCUUCAUAAACACCAGAUAUGCCACAUGGGAACAACAUAUUCUUAUUGUCAUCAAUGUGGAAAGUUUUUUUUUUCUUGAGAUGGAAUUUUAUUGGUCAUCAGAAAAUUUACACCAGAAAAAAAAACAACUUAUAAAUGUAAUGGAUGUAGAAAGGCCUUUAGGUUGAGAAAUUAGCUUGUAUGUCAAAGAAUUUGCAGUGGAAAUAUACAGUGGAAAUACUUAUAAAUGUAAUGACUGUGGGCUUUUCAUCAGAAAAGUUAUCUAGUUCAACACUGAGAACUCACAUUGGGGAAAGACCUUAUAACAGUGAUGGUGAACCUAUGGCAUGGGUGCCAGAGGUGGCACACAGAGCAUUCUCCAUGGGCACAUGGCUGCCCCCCCCCAAUUCAUUACUAGAAAGGUAGAGGGACUCAGACAGAGCUACUCCCUUCCCCCUCUCCACCAUGCCUGAUGGCAUUUUUUCACAUCUCUUGCCCCUAUGCCCAGCAGCCCAAUGGGAGUGCUUUCUACCUCCCCUGUGCAAGGUAAGGGGGUGGGCAGGGCAUACCCAACUCUUGGUGGGGAGGUGGGACAGACACAGGAUGCAGUCUCUGUAGGAUGGGGUAGGGGUGGCGGUGGGUCCCAGCAUUCUAUCUCUAAAAGGUUCACCAUCACUCCCUUACAAAUAUAAUGACUGGAGAAAGGGCUAUGGGCACAAAAUUAACUUUCCUAAGCAUCAGGUGAUAUCUACCUUGUUUUUUGUUUAUUGAUGGAAAUUCAUACUAAUAUUCAUGUUUUGGACAAAUGAUGUAUAUUGUAAUAUUCUCUUUCAAAUAUGCAUUAAACCUAGAUGAGAAGUAAAAAAAAAAAUCCAGAAAGAUCGUACCACAUAGAAAUUGUAUGAAUGUGAUGAAAUGUACGUUUUCCUCUAUUUAAUCAAUACUAUUCUCAUUAUUAUUUCUUAGUAGAAAGAGGAACCUUUGAACUAUGACUUUCCAUUUCUUUUAAUGGGUUUUCCAGCUCCCAAGACAUCUCAUUCCACUUUGGGACAACAGGAAUUGAUAGGAAGUUUUUCCUCACAUAGAGCUAAAAUCUACCUCUUUGUAACUGGUACCCAUGGUUGCCAGACCUAUCUGCUGGGGCCAAAUAACAGAGGUCUUUCUACUCACCCAAUCCCACCCUCCCUCCUUUUUCCAAGACUCUCCUUCUCUGGGCUCAACAUUCUCAGUUCCUUCAUUUGGAUGUGGACUUGGAGACCUGGCUUUGAAUUCUAGUUUUGUCUUAUAUUCACUGAGUAUCUCUGAGAAAGUGAAUCAAUCUUUCUGGUUCUGUUUCCUCAUUGGUAAAAUAGAGAAAAUAAGACUCCCCACUCUAUACCACCCUGAUUAGUUGAGGAAACAGUGCUUCAGCAAUACUUCUCUUAUAUUUCUGCUCUUUUGCACUUGUUUGCAAUGUUUUUAUGCCCUAAUACAUGGUCAGUUUUUGUGCUCUUAUAUUUCAUAGAGCCAAAAUUAACUUUCUAAAUCAUGAGGUCAAAUGCAUAUUUUAUAAUAAAUAUAUAGAUAAUAUAUGUCAUAUUGCCUGUCUUCUGGGGAAGGGAGGAAAAGGAAAGAGGUGAGGAGAGAACAUGGAUUGCAAAAUGUCAGAAAGCAAAUAUUUUUUAAAACUAUGUUGACAUGGUAAUCUGGAAAAAAAUAAAAAUGGAUUAUUAAACAAAAACAAAUCAUGAGGUCAGAACCCUUCAUUUUAUUUUAUUUUUAUUUUUAAAAAUCCUUACUGGGACAGCUGGGUAUCUCAGUGGAUUGAGAACCAGGCCUACACAUGGGAGGUCCUAGGUUCAAAUAUGACCUCAGAUUCCUAGCUAUGUGACCCUGGGCAAGUCACUUAACCCCCAUUGCCUAGCCCUAACCACUCUUCUGACUUGAAACUAAUAUACAGUAUUAAUUCUAAGACAGAAGGUAAGGAUUUUUUUUUUUUAAACCCACAGUUGAGAAGUGUCUGAGGUCAUAUUUGAACCCAGGAACUCCUAGCUCUAAGCCUUGUUUUAAAUCAAUUGAAACACUUAGCUGCCCCUAGAACCCCAUAUUUUACAGGAAACUUCAAUCAACAAGCUUUUAUUAAUAGUUUUGCUUGCCAGUCACUGAAGAUGGCCAAAAAUAGUCUCAGUUUUCAAGGACACCACAGGAUGUGGAGGGAGCCAGCCAUGCAAACAGUUAAAUGAUAUGUGUCUAUCUGUGUGUAUAUAUGCUUUUUAUAAAAAAUAAUUCUCCCCACUCUUUUAAAAAAAUAAUCUGUAAUUUUAUCUAUAUUUUAUUAAAAUUGACAAUUGAUUACAAUUUUAUGACAUACAAAUCUAAAACAAAAAUAAAAAUAACAGUUUAUUCAUCCAUAAACUACACAAUAUUUACAUUUAUAACUUACAAAAUAAUUGCAAUAACAAUAUUUUAAUGUGAUAGAAGACCUUGUUUUUCUGCCCAAAGCUCCCUAAAAUGUGGUGCUGCUACUAGGAAUCCUUUCUUCAGAUAUUUUUGAGAUUUUUGCUUUCAUAAUAGCUACAGUAAGAAACCUUGUUUCACACAAAUAAGAUAAAAGUUCUGAAUUGUGGUAAAAUGUUAUUGCUUCCUUUGAUAAAAUGGGAAAAUCUUUAUUCAGCUGUAGCCAAAACCACAAAAGUUUUAAGUUCAAAUGUUUGUUUCAAUGUGCCAACCAACAUGUCCUCAAUUACCCAGAUUUGUUCCCAAGAAGUAAGACCAUUUGUAUCUUAUUUGCUCAUGGCAUAGCACAUUGAGCUCCUUAUUCUUUUAUGUUUAGAAAUAUCUAGGCCAUUUAAAUAAAAUUAGAAUAGAACAAUCAAAUGAUAAGCAAACUUGUCUUUACUGUCUUCUAUUUGUUUCUGAGAAGCACAUCAAAAACUUUAUUUUGCUAAUUCAUUACACAGAGAUUUAACUUCUCCAUUCCACAUCACCUACCAUUUUCUUUCUUUUUUAUUUAAAAAACCCUUACCUUUCAUCUUGGAAUCAAUACUGUAUAUUGUUUCCAAGGCAGAAGAGUGGUAAGGGCUAGGCAAUGGGGGUUAAGUGACUUGCCCAGGGUCACACAGCUAGGAAGUGUCUGAGGCCAGUUUUGAACCCAUCUCUAGGCCUGACUCUCAAUCCACUGAGCUACUCAACUGUCCCCUCACCUACCUUUUUAGAUCAGAGUAAAGAUUUGAGGAAGGUUGAUGAAUGUAUCAUAUUCAUUCUUUUCAAAAAUUAUUCAUUAAAUAUGAAAGUUUCAAGAGAUGAUAGAGAACCCAUGAUUCCCCCUCCUACCAUGGAGAAUUUUAGUUGCUACAAAUAACAUCAACAUUUUCCUUAUAUAAUGAGAGCAUUUUUUGAUACUUAACAAUUCCAUAAGCAACCAUACAAGAAGCAAGAAGUUCUUUUAAAAUUUUAUUUUCUUGUUACUUUUGUCAACCUGGAGAAACACAGAACCACUAAAGUAGUCAGUAAAACCCAGUCUUGAAUCAGGAAAGAGACAGUUGUCAAUAUCUGGCGGCCACACAGCCAAGUGCCCAAGAAUCAACAGAGCCAAGGGCUCAGCGACUCUGGGAACUGUGUCUCUGAGAGAACCACUGAGAGAGCUGAUUCUCCAAAGAACUUGGGGACUGAUGUUACUUUUGAGGGAACUAAGGAAAGGGAAAUGCAAUUGAUUGGCUUUACAACGGCUACAAGAAAAUGCAAACAUCAAAAUAAGAUUAUCAGGGAGAGGCUGAUGCUUUACAAUGGAUAUUAAAGAAAGAAUCCAGCUAACUACUGGCCUUCCAGGGAGAGGACUCUGAUAUAAUGGGAGAAGCUUCUUAGACAAAAAGGGUACUUAACUUUGGAUUCUAUUUACUAGUCUAAACUAAACUGGGAUCAUUAAGUACUUUAAGGUCUAUUGUUCAGUCUGAAGUGGGGUCAAUCUGGGACCUCCCUAAAGGUAUUUUCCCAAGGGACAAGGGAAAACUUGGGGUUCCCAAAUUUCACAUGGACACUUUGUUAGUUACAUUAAAAUUUCCAGAUAUUUCUCUCCUUUUUGUUUGUUUUUGUUUUAUUUUUAAAAUUUGUUGUUGUCGUUGGUUUGUUUUCAAGCAAUCUUUUUGAUGUUAUAGAUAUGGCUUUUGAAAAAGACUGUUUUUACUUGUUAAAAGUUUCUGAUUUUCUCUGGAAAAAAUUCUUUACACAUACACUUCAGGUUUAUGCAUUUCAUGUGCUUAAGUCAUCUUUAAUCAUCUUUGAUUGUAUCUGUUUAGCUUCUCCAUUGGAUUCCUUCUAGUAUUUAUCCAUCAGGAAAGGACACUUUCUCUUUUUUAAAAAUACAACAAAAUUAAGGGGUAAGAAAGAAGAACAUCCAGAGAAGGGACAUGUGGAAUGGGGGUAAAUUAUCCUAAAUGAAAGAGCUUUUAUAGUGGAAAGAAAGAUGGGGAAGUUGGUAGGGGAAGCCCAUUGAACCUUAUUUUUUUUUAAAUUUAAUUAAUUAAUUUAGAAUUUUUUUCAUGGUUACAUGAUUCAUAUUCUUUUCCUCCCCUCUUCCCUCCCCGCCCCCCUUGGAGCCAAGAAGCAAUUCUACUGGGUUUUACAUAUAUCAUUGUUCAAAAACUAUUUCCAUAUUAUUAUUAUUUGCAAUAGAGUGAUUAUUUAAAGUCAACAUCCCCAAUAAUAUCCCCAUCAAAUCAUGUUAUCACCAUUGAACCUUAUUCUCAUUAGACUUGGCUCAAAGAAGGAAUAGCAUGCACAUUCAGUGGGGUAUAGAAAUCUAUCUUAUCCUACAAGAAAGUAGGAGGGGAAGGGGAUAAGAGAAGGGAGUAUGGUGGGGCUGAAAGAAGAGAGGGCAAAUGGUGGAGGUGGUGUCAGAAACCCAACACUUUUAAGGAUGGACAAAAUAAAAGGAAAGAGGAUAGUAUAAACAGAGGGGGAAAUAAGGCAGAAGGUAAUACAUAGUAAUCAUAAUGGUGGGAAAACUGUUUUAAUUAAAUCACAUUUUUCUCUGAUUAUGUGUAAAAAACAGUUAACAUUAAAAAAAAAUUGAAUCUGAAAUUCUUUGCCCAUUACCCAAAGCAAGCAAUCUCAUAUAGAUUUUACAUAUGCAAUCAGAAAAAAAAUGAGAAACAUUUUUAACAAUUCCAUAGUAAAGACCUUAUUUCUCAAAUACAGAGAGAAAUGAGUUCAAAUGCAUAAGAAUACAAGUCAUUCUCCAAUGUAAACAGGCAAUUAGACAAAAUAAUUAAACCUCUCUAUAAUCAUAUAAAAAUGCUCUAAAUCACUAGUAGUAGUAGUAGUAGUCUCUUGGUAACCGAGGAUGACGAUUGUCUUUGUGCGUUUUCAUCUAUGAUAGAUGAGUGUGCACAAAAACACUUGUGUGUGAAGGAGAUUUAAGUGGAAAAGUGGGUGCACAGAGACAGUCCCACUCUCUCGGCAUUGGAAGCCUGGGCCCAGUGGCACGAAAAGUCGUUACACCUGGAGACUUCCUCAGCUGCACUGGUUGGCCGUGGCUGUGUUGUCCUUUGUGCUCCAACAUGCCCUGAGCACUCCACAGUGCCUUGCUGCAUCGCCAUCUCAGCCGUUGAACCUUCUUAUUGGUUUCUUCCGUCUGUUCAGCCAAAGCAGUCUUCACAUGCUGGGUGAGCAAAGCCCUGGUUCACCAGGGGUCGACGACCUGAUGGCUACCCUCACAAGGUUUGGCCGGCCUGUCAAAGCCAUUGCCUGGGGUGUGGCCGCUGCCACAUGCUAGCAGCUACUGGGAGCCACAAGUGAGAGCUGGGUGUCAGGUGGGGGUCAGAGUCUGGAGAACUGCCCUAGGAGGGCACAACAAGCCCUCCAUACCAGAGGUACUACUCCUCCCUGAGCACCCCAUACACCCCUACUAUUUAUUAGAGAAAUGCAAAUUAAACAACUCUGAGGUACCACCUCACACCUAUCAGACUGGCUAUUAAGACAGAAAAGGAAAAUGACAAAAGAUGGAGGGGAUGUAGGGAAAUUGAGACAUUAAUGCACUGUUGGGGGGAGUUGUGAACUGGUUCCACCAUUCUGGAGAGCAGUUUGGACUUAUAUCCACAGGGCUAUAAAACAGUACAUUCCUGGGGCAUCUGGAUAGCCAGGCUUAAACACUGGAGAUUUUAGGUUCAAAUAUAACCUAAGAUUCUUCCUAGUUGUGUGUCCCUGAGCAAGUCACUUAAUCCUAACUGGCUAGCCCUUACCACUCGUCUGCAUUAGAAAUGAUACUUAGUAUGGAUGAUAUUUAUUAUAUAUUAUUGCAUAUGAUAUAUAAACUAAUUAAUACUAUCAACUAAUUAUUACUAAUAUAUAACUUAUCAUUAAUUAAUACAUCAUAUGUUAAUGUUGUUUAUUAUUAUUCCUGGUUAUAAGAUAGAAAGUAAGGGUUAAAAAAACAGACAAAAAAAACAGGCCUUCAUAUUCUCUCCCUCCCAUCCUACUCCCCAAUCUCCAGGAAAGAAAAAGUAACCCUUAUAACAAAUUUAUAGAAACAAAUCCCCAUCUUGUUGGUCAUUGUUUUAUUUAUUUAUUUGUGGUUUUUGUUUAUUUAAACCCUCACCUUCCAUCUUAGAAUCAAUACUGUGUCUUGGUUCCAAGGCAGAAAAAUGGUAAAGGUUAGGCAAUGGGAGUUAAGUGACUUGCCCAGAGUCACACAGCUGGGAAGUGUCUGAGACCAGAUUUGAACCUAGGACUUCCUGUCUCUAGGCCUAACUCUCAAUCCACUGAGCUACUCAGCUGUCCCCUCACCUACCAUUUUAGAUCAGCCAUUGUUUUAUGAUACCUUAACUCUUCUCAAAAGGUCUUGUACCUUGUUUCCAAUGUUGGAAAAAUCUGCCCUAGAUAAUUAUUUCCUACUUGCCUCCACUGAAACCCUACUCCUGGGCUUUUCUAUGGUGUGAAAGUAACUCUGAACUCUCCAAGAUUAUGAUAGCAGAGGUCAAACUCUGGAAGGUUCUUGGGUUUAUCUUAUAUGUCUCUCAUCUAGAAACCAGCCUAGCUAAAUUGGGAGACAUUUAUCACCAUGGCUUGAAUUUUUCUGGAUACUGUGAACUUUAAAAACUACUCCACCUUAAUUAGAAUGACAAAAAAUAAGACCAGGAAAUGACACUUCCCUAUCAAAAUAAAAUUCUAGUUCCUUUUCUUCUUAUAGUAUGGCAACUUCCUGUAGUCUUGACUGCAAAUGGGUAAGUGAAAUAUUACUGCAUUCUGUCCUACAGACUUGUGGGAUAGAAACUAUUUUAAAUUGGACCUAUAAAAGGGCUUGUUAGAAAUUUAUUAAACCCAAAUAAGGGCCUAUUUUGAAUUUUUUUCUUUCCAUUUUUUCCCUUUCCUUAUGUUUUUUUUGUUUGUUUUUCUCUUCUUUUGAUAAUUGAUUCAUACAACCCCAUAACUCAACAUUGCAUCCUGAGCUGAACUGGAUGUUUUUUAACACACACUUGGGGGGGGGGGUGUUGUAUUUUAAUAAAAAUCCAAGAUUUUGAAUUUUUGUUCGAGAAAGAUCUUCAAGGAAGAAGCUUGCUAACUCCUAAACCCAGAGAACGAACUGUUGCAGAAAGAUGCCAGAAAACCUACACUACAUCAAGAAGAUCAAGAAUGAACUGUGGGUGUGGUUGAUUGAACUGAAGUUUGAUUGAACAUUUAUUGUAAAUGUACACUUUUAUGCCAAAGGGGACUGCCCCUAAUUUGACUUUUUGUCAAUGCGCCUAGCAAAAUAUUGGUUUUGCUUUCUCUCUUUUCUAUUCCUCCCUAACUAUUGUAAUUUCCUCUUAGAAAUUGAAUAUUGUAUACAUCUAUAGUUAGAAGUACUUUAGGACUACAAGAUGAUUAUGUUAAAUGAUCAAUGGGGAGACUAGUUUCCCAAUGAUCAUCAUGGGGGGGAUUGUGAACUUUAAAAACUACUCCACCCUACUUAGACUAUACUUUAGGGGAAGACAAAAUUGUAAUCACCUGAUUGAACAAUGAAGGCACUUAGUUCUCACCUUAUAGUGAAGCUAGAACUUUAAGCUAAGUCUAUUUUUAGAUCUAAUACAAAAAGGUGUUAAGUAACUAUAAAGGUUAAAUUAAUCACAAAAAGGUCAAGUAACUCACAAAAGGUGAACUUAACAAAGAAAUGUUAAGUAACUCUAAAGAUAUAAUCAAAUCAAAGAAGGUGAGAACUGUAAGAUUUAAAAGAGUGGGAGCCAUAAACUGUAAUAGUUAAAAUGGUUGGGUGUCAUAAACUGUAGUGAUUAAAAUAGUGGAAGAUAUAAAUUGUGAUAGAUAUAAAGAGUGGAUGAGUAAGUUGUGACCGCAGGAAAUAUGUUUUCACUACAGUGUUUUGUUUUUAAAUCAAAUAUAAGGUGGUUGCCAGGGAAAUAUUCCCAAUUAUUCAAAUAUACCCAAGUCAGCUGGGUUUUAUAGAGAUUUUAAUUAAUACAAAUGAGGAAUUAAAGAAAAGGAGAGAAAGAGAGAAAAAGGAGAAUAAUGAGAAAAGGAUAAGCUGGCCCUGGCCAGUCCUGGCCAACCCAGGCCUAAGCCCUAAGAGAAAAGAUCAGUCAGUCCUUAAUCACUCAUCACAAGAUCUGUCCAAGCAAGGAUUCUAGUGACACCAGACCAGCUCCAUCUCAGCUCAAUCCUCAAACUGAAUGUUUCAGAAUGUCCCUUGAGCUCCUAUCUGAGCUCCUAUUUAAAGAGCAUUUUCUCCUAUGUCACCUCCCCUAAGUCCUUACAUCUACAAUCACAGUAGAUGUUUUUCAAAGGACAGAUCAUUCUUAGUUCACACCUGAGUAGACUAGAAUCUCUGAGUAAGUUUUCACCUCUUUGCUCCUUGUAAGUUCACAAGUUGCUUGACCUUUAUAGGUACUUAGCACCCUUUUUGUAUUAGUACUAAAAUAGGCAUAGCUUAAGUAUGGGUUUAAAGUAUUUUUCAAUGUUCAGAAAAGAGUUUACAACUUUAUCUUCCCCUAGGGCAGACUUAAGUAGGUGAGUUCUCACAUUCCUAAUCUAAGUAGAGUUCACUGCCCAAAUGUGGAAUGGUCUUAAUCCAAUCUUAUGAAGUAGGGUCUGGGAAUUUUUAAGGUUCACAGAACUAAAAGUAUGGGCAGUCCUGGAGAAAAAGCCUUUAAUGUGAUUGGUAGAUGUGAAAAUUUGGAGAAGGAGACACAAGGAUGAAAGGUCUAUAUAUUUGAGAUUUUUCAUCCCUCAAGGACACUCUCUCUCUCUUUCCCUGAUUGGUGGUGGAGAGUUAGCUAUGAGCUGCAUGCUGAGCCUUUCUGCAUCUUAGUGUGGCUACAAGCUAUUGUCCAGUUCAAUGGUGGUGAGUUUCUGGCUGAAUUUUCCUCCUUUACUUUCCAACUUUUUCCUCUCAAAAGCCUCUAAUUUUCUUCAGAGACCUAGAGGUGGGGAGUUUAAAACUCCCCCUGGCAUAGGCCAGGUAGGAGAAAUCCUAUAUCCUCUUUCCUUCUUCUUAAAUUCCUUCCUUCUAUAUUAAUUAAAUUACCAUAAAUUUCCAGACUGACUUGGGAAUUUUAUUUGGCGACCAUUUAAAUCUAGAUUUAAAGUCACAACCCUAAAAUUAUCUGACAAUACUCAUAGAACUAAGGAGUGAAACAGCCACAUUCAUUUUGAUGGAAUGAAUAUCCCAUAGAUUAAAAUCCUGGAUGAUUGAAGUAUGGGCAUGUAAUAGUGGGAUUGGCCAAUUAGGAGCCAGUUUUUAGAGCAUCAGUGAUAUCCUCUGGGUGCUAUCGGGCAACAUAACAUUUUUGUAAUCUUGUUUUUCUAAAUGUGUGAUGGAGGUGCACUUCCUCUCUCCACUUCACAACACAUGCAGAUGUCCUGUGGUUCAUCCUGGCUCACUGCAUUGUGACAGAAAGUCUUUUAAAAAGUUGUAGAGCUGGAAAUGAGUUUACCCGCAAAAGGCUUGGACUGACCAACUUGAUUUCUCUUCCCCAAGAGAUUUCAAGUGAUGGGGAGGAAGAAAUGGCAGACAGUAUAUUGUGGGGAGAGGUAGUAAGUGCCAACUGGAGGUGAAUGCAUGGUGAAGCUUUUAUUUCUCUCUGUUGUAUUUAUUCUUCCUGAUCUAAAACAAGUGAAUGUCAUAGAUAAAUGGAACAGGCUAUAACCAUAAGUCCAGUAGAGUCCAUACUAGUCAAAGCAGUCAAAUCUGGUAGGGAAUCAUCCCUGAGAAGCAACUGGUGGUGAGUGGACCUAUCAAUCAAUCAAUAAACAUUUCUCCCCCCCCCAUAUUAUUCAAGCUAAACAUACUUAUAUAUUAUAUAUUGGCCAUUGUUGUAAGAGAAUACUUGCACAAAACAAAAACCCCAAAAUAAAAACAUAAAUAAAUUAAAGUGAAAAAUAGUAUGCCUUGUCUGCCUUCCAACUCCAACAGUUCUUUCUCAGGAGGUGGAGAGCAUUCUUUGUCAUCAGUUCCUUAGAAUUGUCCUGGAUCAUUGUAUUGCUGAGAGUAUGGAGAUGGUAAUGAAUCCCAUGGGAAUGGAUGAAACCAUCCAUUUGUAAAACCAAACCAGUUGUAAAGAGGGAGAAGAGAGGAGGACCCAGGGCAGAACCUGAGGGAUACCUACACUUAGACAGUAUGAUCUGAAGGAGGAUCCAGCAAAGGAGACAGAGAAGUAGUUAGACAGGAUUUAUGAAGGUCCAAAAACCUAGAGAGAAAAGAUUAUCAAGGAAGGGAAAAAAAAGAUCAAUAGUGCCAAAGAUUGCAGAAAAGGUCAAGAAGAUUGAGUAUUAAGAAAAAGGCCAUUGAAUUUGGCCACUAAGAGAUCAUUGGUAACUUUGGAGAGAGUAGAUUUGGUGGAACUAUAUGGUCAGAAGCCAGAUUGUAAGGGCUUAAAAAGGGACUGAGAAGAGAGAAAGUAGAGAUAUCAGUCUCUAAACAAAGGAAAGACUCAUUCAUCAGCUAUUCCAUAUCCCAAGUGAACUUUGUGGACAGGAACCACUUUGAAUUUGAACCGACUCUCCCCAAGGGCUGUGGUAUGACAGGGGGAGAAUGGAUGUUUAGGGAACACUUGCACUUUUGGUGUGAGGGCUUGCUGAGUCUUUUUCAGGAUGACUCCUCUUCCUUUAGUGUUCACUUGUCACCCAACGCUCACCUGUGGCUCCAAGAAACUGUAGUGUGAGCAAUGGCCACACACCAGUAAAACACUUGUUUAAAAACAAACAAACAAACAAACACAGUAAAAUAAAUACACCAGAAAAAAAAAUACAGGUAAACAGGCUAAACCAGGUUGAGAGCCUCAAACCCUCAAGUGAGUUAGAUGUCUACCCCAAGCAUGUGAAGACUUCCCCCACCAAAUGGGUACAUGAGAGCAAUUUGUUCCAAAAUGGCCACAAAGUCAGUUGAAGGAGGUACUGUGGAGCUCUUAGAGCUUGGUCAGACAUUGAAGACAUCAAGGUUAUCUACUGUAUCCUGGGCCAUCACCAGUCAUCUUGACUUGUGUCUUGCCACUAGAAUUCAAUGACUCUGAAAGAGAAUGAGGCCAACAACUUUGAACAACUCUGCCUCACUUAAAUCCAAUUCUUGUUCAAGUCAAGAUAUCACCUUUGUGACAUCAUUGGGCAUCCUUGAAAACAAAGGAUGAACAACAACAAUGGUUGUAAAGGAGAGUGUGCUCACCGGGAGACCAUUGUACCUUUUCAAUGACUGACUCUGCCUAAAAGCUAACUGAUGAUAAAUGGUCAACUGAUAUUGAGGAGAUACUUCCACAUCCCUGGGGUUAGGGACAUGGCAUUCCCAAGAUCUGCAAAAUCCAUGUGCAGGUUGGCAGAGUGAGAACAGAGUCUAUGUGCCACCUCAGGAAUAGCACAGGUCUACCUGACACAGACACGUCUAGGACAUUAUUUCACUCUCCUCCUUGUCCUCCAAACAGGGGAGAAACUACAUUUGCAAAAUCCUUCCUCAAGAUGUAUCUACUGGCUAUUUUAAUGCUCGUCUAAAUUAUACGCUUAUCGAUUUCGUUGAACAAAAAAUAUUUCUCUUUCUACUUAAGCCUCGCUAUAGAACGGGAGACUCAUCAGAUGGGUGACCCAUAGCCAUGGAUUCAUAUCGAGAUUAGGUCUUAUUUCAUUUCUGCAUCUUCCCCAUCGCCCAAACAAUGGCUAUGGCUGGCAAUAAAUCUUCAUAAGUGUCUGUUGAGUUGAAUUGGAUCUUUCUCCCAAAACAUUUUAUCUUGGGUAGCUACAAGAAUGAAAGGCCAGAGCAUUGGCUUUGUAGGGGAGACAGAAUGUCUGCUUUGUAGGCCAGGAAUGUAAGACACAUUAUUAAUGCUGACUGAUUUAUUCUACUGUGGCUGCUCCUUUUAUUAUCUUUAGAAAACCCCUGGAUUUGAAUUAGACAAGUGCCAUGCUCUGCAAUACUGGGAUAGAUUCAAUGGGAAGUCAUGGUACUGGCAUCUAUAUAACCUGGUUUCAGGUUGCUAGCUCUUCCAUUUAGUGACUAGGUGGUCUUGGUCAAGGAAUUUCUUUUCUUUAAAACUCAGGGUCAGGGCAGUGGGGUGGCUCAGCCAAUUGACAGCCAGGCCUAGAGAUUGAAGGUCUUGGGUUUAAAUGGCCUCAGAUACCACCUAGCUGGGUGACCUGGGCAAAUCCCUUACCACUCUUUUGCUUUGGAACCAACACACAGCAUUGAAAUCAAGAUGGAAAGGAUGGGUAAAAAACCCCAAACCCUCAAGGUUCUUAUUUGUAGAAGGGGAAUAAUAAUAUUUAUACAAUCUCUUAGGUACCUUACAGGGGGAAAAGUGUUUUGUAAAUUAUAAACCAAUAUGGAAAUAGGUGCUACUAUUGGGAUUAUAGCAUUAGUGUCAUAUGUAAUUAUAUGUAUACAUAAUUAUAGCUUUAGAGUUUUUCCUUUGAUGCCCUUAGGAACAGAUGUCAUUUGAGUAUCAUUCAUCCUACCAUUCUGUCUUUCUAGAUGCUUUUCUGAUGCAAGAGCAGCAUUUAAGCCCUUAGAUAUAUGUAGGACCAUCAAAUUGAGAGCUGGAAGGGAAUUUAGAAAUGCUUCACUCUAAUCCCAUUAUGGCGAAGUGGAAAGAACUCUGGGCAUGGAUCAGAAGCCUGGAUCUGACUAAUACCUGAAAAAUCUCUUCUAAAAUCAGAUGUAUGGGGGGCAGCUGGGUAGCUCAAUGGAUUGAGAGACAGGAGGUCCUGGGUUCAAAUCUGACCUCAUACUUCCCAGCUCUGUGACCCUGGGCAAGUCACUUGACCCCCAUUGCCUAGCCCUUACCACUCUUCUGCCUUGGAACCAAUACACAGUAUUGAUUCUAAGAGGGAAGGUAAGUGUUUUUAAGAAAAUAAUAAUAAUAAAAUAAAAAAUAAAAAGAUGUAAGGAGCAGCUAGGUGGCUCAAUAGAUUAAGCCAGGCCCAGAGAUGGGAGGUCUUGGGUUCAAAUUUGACCUCAGACACUUCCUACCCUAGGUAGGUGACAUAACUGCAGUUGCUUAGACCUUACUGCUUUUCUGCUUUGGAACCAAUACCAAGUAUUAAUUGUAAGAUGGAAGAUAAGGUGUUUUUUUUUAUUAAAAACAAAAACCACUCAUUUAAUUAAUGGUCAUCCUGACUUUGCUUGAACACCCAAACACCUAUAAUGAGGGAAAACCCACUCCCUUGCCAAGUGUGAAGACUCGAUUUGGCUAUCUCUAGAUUGUGAUAAUGAAGGUACUUAAUUCUUCCUUUAUUGUGAAGAUUAAAUUGUAAUCCCCUGUCUAUUUUUAGAUUUUCAUCCCCAAAAGUGUUAACUCAGUAUUUAAAGUAGAUCUACCCAUUUUAACUAUAAAAAGGUGUUAACUAACCAAAACAGGUAUUAACUAACUACAAAAAGUGUUAAAUAACCAAAAAAGGUGUUAACUAACUACAAAAGGUGUGACACCCAUUUCAUACAUUGAGUGGGCAGUCCUGGAGAGGACCGUCUGCUGUGAUUGGUAGAGGUAAAAAUUUAGGGGAGGUGACACAAGAGAAAAAGGUCUUUAAAUAGAGGAAACAGAGGCAUACAAGGAUGGAUUUGAUUCAGUCACUUGGAGUUAGACUGGAACAGAUCAGUCACUUGGAAUUGGACUGGAAGACACACUUGAGAAACUGGAAGACAGACCUCAGACUUGGAGUGAAGAAGAGACACUUGAGGAGACACUAGAAGACAGACACUCUGAGUUAGAGUGAAGAGACUUGGCUGUGGAACUGGACCCCUGAAGGAGCUCAUGCAGGAGACCUCAGAAUGCUUUCCGUUUAGAUGGUCACAGUGGUGAGUGUGAAAGGCUGACUUAGUUUCCUUGCCUUUCUGGAGGUGAGAACUUCUGAGAAAGGACCAUCAUCUUGAGAUUCUUUUCCCCUGGCUGGGGCUUAGAAUUUCUACCUGGCUAUGAGGAAGCCAGAGCUCUCUCUCCUUCUCUUCCCUUUUUUCUCUUCCUUAAUAUCUUCUCUCUAUUGUAAAAUACACUAUCAUAAUUCUAUUUACUUGAGUAAUUCAUUUUGGGAUUUAGUAAUUAAAUCCCUGGCGACCACCAAUUUAAUAGUCAAUCCUACCACGAUAAAAUUUAACACAAGGGAUGUCUGUGACAAAGAUUGCUAAAAAAAAAAAUUCUUUGCAUUUUCAGUCCACCGUCCAGUGGUUUUCACAUAGUAGUGUUGGUGGAAUAGAGUUAAAUUGUUUUCAUUUAUGUUUUUACUAUUUGAUACUUUAUUUUUUUUAAGAUGAUCAAUAUUUCAGCUGAGGAGAGAAUAAAAAGAAUCCCAGGCAUCUCAACUGCAGCUGAGCACUGGACACAAUCACCACUAUACACUUGCAGUUCAGUGGUGAAAUGUGGGCUGGUUGGUUGUAUUUAUAUUAUUUUAAAGAAAAAAUGCUUCUGUAAAUGGUUGUAGCUGAAUGGGGCCACCAUGUUUCUCUCUUCUGACUCAAUGGCUCAAGUCUCCAUCAAAGAACAUGCACAGAAAUCUCCUCUCAGUUUAUGGUUCUAAGAAUGUGUAAUAACACCUACCUCCCAUGAUUGUGGAAAGGAUGAGAUAUUUGUAAAGUGUUCAGCAAUCUUUAAAGUUAUAUAAAUAUUAGCUUUUUUUUGAGACUCUGAGUCUGCCAUAGAUUUCUGUACCCACCCAUAGCUACCCUCCAAACUUAUACAUUCACACUGAUUCUCAAAGCACUUAAGAUGUGUUGCUCUGCUUCCACAUCUUGUCCCACCUGGUGACCCUCAAUAAUUCUCUAAGUAUCUGCAGGACUGGAACCUUUUGUAGAUGACUCAUCUGACUCUUGAAGCCAUUUGUACCAAUGCCAGACUUAACUUCUCUCUGCCCUUUGUCUCUCUGUCUUUGAGGACAGUGCUAAGGAUGAUGGCUACAUGGGUGGACAGGAAGGGCUAAAACAAAUUGGUUUCAUCAUGUUUUGGUGCAGACUGCUGCACCACCUGGCUUGGAGAACACAAGGCAGCAACUGCUGGAAUACAGCUGAUUUUGGGGAAGGAAAUGUAUGGCAGACAUCAGGAAUGCUUUUUUACAAAAUGCUUUCCCUCCUCUCCCCAUAGACAUGUUGUGUCAAAAAGCACUGCUUCAGGCUUUAUCAAUUGCACUUGCAGACAUGGAGAGAUCACAACUAAAGCAGAGUCUUUGGAGAACUAGGUUGGUCUACCUUCCAGUCCAAGAUGUCUCUAGAUACUUGUCAGGAUCAUGGGAUGAGCCCAGUUUGGCAUCAGAGGCCUUGGUUUAAAUCUCAGCUCUCCCACUUGCUUGCUAUGUGAGCUCAGGCAAGUCACCGAACCUGUGUCCAGAUCUCAUCUUUCUCAUCAGUAGAAUGAGGCACUUGCACAAGACAGUCUCUAAGGUCCCUUCUAUUGCCAAGUCCAUGACUAUGACUUUGGUUCCUAUUUGGGUUCUGUUACCUACCAUUGAUAUAACAGGGGAUUUAGGCCUGGAAGCAACCUGGGACAUCAUCUAGGCCAAACUUCUCAUUUUAUAAAUUUCAUAGGUCCACAGAGGAAAGGGACUCAUCCGAGGUCACACAGUCAGGGGGAUUUGAACCAACGUCCUCAGACUGAAUCUAUCUAUAGCUCUUUACACUGUACUGGUGCCUCACUUCUAUAUGAUCUUAGACAAAUUGCUUCUCCUGGGGCCUGUCUGCUCCUUUGCAAAAUGGAGGGGGAGAGGUCAUCAUUCCUGGUCCUAGAUCCUAGGAUCUUGUGAGAACAAGAGCUAAUUUCCUCUGUUUAGUUUCUGUCAAAAAGUUUACAAGCUAGGGAGCAGCUACAUGGUUCAGAACAGAGAACCAGGACUACAAAUGAGAGGUCCUGGUUUCAAAUGUGGCCUCAGAUACUUCCUAGCUGUGUUACCUGGGCAAGUCACUUGACCCCCAUUGCCUAGCCCUUACCACUCUUCUGCCUUGGAACCAAUACACAGUAUUGAUUCUAAGACAGAAAGUAAGGGUUAAAAAAAAAAGUUCACAAGCUCCUUUUAAAAAAUUGUACCUGUUUUGGUUAGAUGAUAGAAACUGUGAUUAGCAGGGCUUCCCUUUCUUGAACAACUUUUGGGAAGCUCAGUGCCAGCUUCAAUACCCACUUAUCUCAGGUGCCUGCUGAGAUCUGCAGGGUUCUUUGCUAUUUUCAGGUGAUCUUGGCUGUUUUUCCCUUAUUUUUUGGUAUUUUAAAGUAUGUUUAAUUUUGUGU
Molecule: long non-coding RNA, 18120 nt
Organism: Monodelphis domestica (gray short-tailed opossum)
Lineage: Eukaryota; Metazoa; Chordata; Mammalia; Didelphimorphia; Didelphidae
Source: RefSeq, a predicted model, not a curated record